RNAcentral lists this unclassified non-coding RNA (6120 nucleotides) under Leishmania donovani. RNAcentral's name for it is "gene:unknown". Lineage: Eukaryota; Euglenozoa; Kinetoplastea; Trypanosomatida; Trypanosomatidae. The record is from RNAcentral.
AGCUCAGCGAGGAAGCCGGCCAGCCGCAGGCCAGGGCCUUCCCAGACCCUGCGCUCGGCAUGCAUGCCAUGUUUUUCCAUCCGCCGCGGCAUCCCAUAGCAUGGGGCGGUGGCUCUCUCCAUCGGGGUCUGGGGGCCUCCGUGGUGUCACCCGGGGCGUUCUCGGCGCGCUUCCGGCACCGGCGCCGCGUCCGCCCACACGGCCCCACCUGGGAGACGCCGGACGCGCCGCGCACAUGCACGGCGGGGCCGGUUCGCAUGCAUCUCCUCGCGCCCCCUUCGCCCACCGCCCCUGCUCUGCUGGCCUCUUCUUGCCCUGUUCGGGUGCGAUGCGCCAUAUGCCAGCGGUGCCCGACAGCGUGUGCGCACAGCGCCCGCGUCCCGGCGCCUGACCCAAGACAACGCCGUUUUCUAGCAGGCCCGCUGUCUUCGCCCCCGCACCCGCCGACACCACGAGAAGGGGGGGGGGGGGGGGCGUUGCCGCCAGCCUGCGGCCGCAGAGGAGCCCCACCCACCCACCCCCCGGCCCGCACGCCUUUGAGAGGGAGCCGGGCGCGUGGCAGGCGAAAGGGGCCCACGCACACGCACGCACCAGCGCACAGGGAACCCGCCGCGCGCCCCCCCCGCAGAGGCACGGGAGGGGGCAGCCCAUGCCGCGCGAGCGAGGCGCGCGCAACAAGGUCAGCGCGCGCAGGAUCAUAGCGUCAGACGGGGUGCGCUUUCAGCCGCCAGCGAUCCGCAAACCCCGCGCAGCGUACCGGCCACAACGCCGGUUCGGUCUCCCACAUGGCAAAACAGGUCGGGGCCGGGGCUCUGGCGAGGGCGGGGGCCACCACAGCGCCAGCGGAGCCGCAGGCAGCAACACCGCCCCCGCCCCACGCCGCCACCGCCAGCCACCCGCCGCUGCGGCAACCCGGUGCACCCGGACAAGCGCCUGCGCGGGAGUAGGCAAGCGCGGUCUCCCGCCGCCUCGUGGGCCCAAGCAUCCCUGCACAUUCGUGCGGGACCGCGGCCGCCAAGGAGCCCCCGCCGCAGCGCGUGGCGCCGUGCAGCGCGGUUUCGGGGGAUGCCGGCCUGGCGUCUGAGACCGGCGGCCAACCCCGCGAUCCACGCAGUUGGCGUCAGCGCCCCCACUGGCUUGGCAAACUUGCCGGCGUCGCCCUCUUGCCCCAACACACAGUCACCAGAGACAAGCGGAAGCAAGGGGCGCGCGAGAGAGGCCAGCAGCGCCAGCAGCUGCGCCCCAAUGCGCCGCACCAUUCCCCCGAAGCGAGCAAGGGUGCCCCGCACAUAGGGAGAGCCAUUGCCUGCGCGCCGCUGGCCUUUUCUAAUUCAAAGAGUUUGCCAAACGCCUUGAAUGAGUUGGCGCGUCGAAGUAGAUGCGACCGCUGCGCAUGAGGAGUUUUUUCCCGGCUGCUUUGAGGGGAUCGAUGUCCGCAUACGCGCGCCAAAGCCGCCGAAGUAUUCUGAGGACACUUUUCGCAGUUGUGUGACCCUCAUCGCAAAAUGCGCACGAUGGUUUUUUCAGGCACUCUAGCCUGCAGAAGCGGCCGUGCGCGGGACAGCGGCGUUAUGAAGCAAUUGGGAAAUAAGAUCGUUCUCUCCGGGCGGGGGUCUUUCAUGUGUGCGUUGGGUGGCGACAGCCAUGAUUAGAGAUGCCGUAGCCCAAGGGUGUUCGGGGUUUCUUCCUCAGCAAACGCGGGCCCUUUCUUUUUACCACUAAGAAAACAGGAACGGGGAUCCGUUGGCAGGGCCACCUCUGCGAGGAGGCCGCCCCCGCCCCGGACGUCUGGUUGAGGAGAUUCCGACGACCCCGAAAGCGCGCCAGCCCACGCCGCGCAUUUUUUCUUGCUUUAAGUCGCGCGGAAAAAUAAAUUGCCACCCGCUUACGGCCCGUAGGUGACGCAAGCGCGGCUGACCGCAGUGAUUCCGCCACUGGGCGCGGUUUCCCUCUGAAAAAAGGUCCCCCUCAUGGACCACCCCAAGCAAAGUAAAAGAAAUGCGGUGGGGCGCGCACGGGGUCUAUUGAUCACGGGGAAUAAAGAUGAGAAACAACAUCUCCUAAAAGCACGUUUCCUCCGGAGCGCCUCCCCAGGCACCCUACCCCACCAAAACGCAACCGGAGUAUACAGCAAGCGCUUCAGCAAGAUCAACGUGGCGCCACGCAACCCUACCAACCAACCCCCUUUUCCAGCCUUUUUCCAACGACGCAAAAGCAGAAACAGCAACCAUACGAAAAAAAAAUAUAUGAAUUGGUGAACCUGAAAUGAUUUAACUCAAAAUUCUUCAGUGCCGCGACCAACCGAGCCAAAGGCGUGAGCGUCGAGUCCACAAACGCCGCCCCUAUCGUGGCGCCUGGCUGGUGCUGGGCCGCCGUGCGGGAGAGCAAGCCCGCGCGGUCUGCAGUGGAGCGGCGGGGACGGAAGCCAGGCUGCCGUGGCUGGAGCUUGUCUCCCAGAUGGUCGCGCAGUCGUCGCGAGGUCCGUUACUCAUGUGGGUUGCGCAGACCACGGGUCAGUGCCGCAGGAACGGUGGGGAGGGGGGGGGCGGCGGGAUGUCGCGCCGGCGCCCGCUGGCGCAUCUUUGUCAAGAUGUUUGCCUGCUCUUCCACGCCGGGGUGGGUGUUACCUUGUCCCGCCGCUGGUGUGAGCAGCGCGCGGGCGCACGGGCGGCCCGCACGCACGCCCAUGGCCGAGGGCGAGGGCGUUGCAGGGCACCCUCCCACGAGCGGCUGCCCGUCGCGCCAGUUUUGACCCCCGCAAUCGUCUAUAAGCGGGUGUGCCGGGUGGGGCGGCAUUCCCGGCGGCUGCCGCAAGCAGAUGCCAACAUUGCUCCAUACUUCGGUUAUACUUUGUGGUUGUGUGCGUGUGUCUGUGGUGGUGCUGCGGUCUUGCGGUGGGUGUGGCUGCGUGGGAGAUUUCGCUUCCCUCCAUGGCGCGUUUUCGAGUUGUCUUGGUGCUCGGGGUCCGUGCGGCACUCUGAUGCUCGCGCGUCUUCGCUUCCUCGCCGCUGCGGUGGGCACGGCGUUUUGCGGGUCGGUUCGCCGAUGCGGGCGCGGUGCGGUCUUCCGUUAAAUUUUCGGAAAGGGCGCCAUGGGGGCGUCAGUCGUUACUGGCAGCGAACGUGCCCGUGCGGUGGUCGCCCGGUGCCGCGGCGCCGUCCCCGUGGCUCCGCCUGCGCUGUGCCGCGGGGGUGUCCCCACCGUUUGCCCAUGCCAGGCGCGCGUCACCGGAUAGCCCGCGCGGGGUGGUUCUGGCCCGGCCGAGUCGUUUUCCCCGCCCCACCCCAAGCAACGCGGGGACCGGGCGCCACAGCGCUUUGCAUUCGGUCCGGGGCUUCCAGCGUGGCAAGGGCGCCCCCGAGUAUGUAGCCGGACGUCCGCUACAUCCGCCCAGCGGGGUCGCCGCAGCAAAGCCAGGCGGCCGCUGCUGCAAUUUCGUCCUUUGGAAUAGGGGGCACGCCCAUACGCCGGCCCCCUCGUAUGCGCACUGGGGCGCCACCGCCGCCACCCCCCCCGAGCUUGCCACGCCAGGGCGCCGAAAACCCCGGGGGACCACGUGCCGUGCAGAUCUGUGGGGGUGUAAACGCUUCUCUUGCGGAAGACAGAUUUGUACCGGGGAUUCGCAUAGGAGUCGGGCCAACCAGCCCCGUUUGAGGUCGCUCAGACCGCUGCCAUUCCACGAUGUACAGCGUAGGCGGGGCACAGGGCUACGCGCAGCGCCGCCGCGGUGCAGCAAAAGAAGCAAGAAAAAUAUGUAGGUGAGUGCACAUGCUAGUCGAACCAUCGAGAGGAUUCAUAUCGAGACGGUGCGAACGCGAUCAUAACGGCGAAACUUCACGGCACAUCGCCGCCUCAGGCAUUUCCGCCGACACCGCGAGUCCGCGGCCGUACCCGAGGACAGGCCGCAGGCUCUCGGCUUCCACGCGGGGUGGUUGUCGCACCCUGACCCCCCCCGGUCACGGGUGCGCAAAAGGUUUUGAAGGUGGAGUCGCAGAGUGGUUAGGGAAUCUGCUCGGGCACGAGAGGGCUUGGUAAGUAUAGCUGCUUUCGUCAACGGCGCCAUAUUUUUCGGGGGAACAAAGGUGUGCAAAAGGUGUGUUUUUGGUGCUGUUUCUGGAGAGCAGGCGCGCAACAAUGUGUGAGUAGUGAAGAUCCCCUCUUUGAGUGCUGAAGGUUCACACCGCGCGUACGGAAGGGUCGAGUUUUUUUUUUGUCAACGGAACCAAGGUGUUUCCAUGGCGGGUGUGAAUUGUUAGUGUGAGCGGGGCUUGGUGAGGCGGGUGGUGUUAGAGGGUGUGUGGCGGCGUUAUAUAGUUUCUGAAAAUUUUUUGCUGACGCGGCGCGUGUACAGACCGAGCUCCUGCGCGUGAGGUGGCUAGAACCUUUGUGGCGCUUAUUGUUUCAAGUCGUUGUCAAAAACUAAACCAGCUUUCUUAAAGUACGUUUCUGGUUUUCAAAGGUAGCCUUUCCGUCGCAGCAGUUAAAGUUAACAUCUAGUGGUGGUGUGGGCGUUUUUUUUUCGGCAUGCGCAUCGGGGGGGGGGGAUCGGCUGGGGUGUGUGGGCGUCGCGGCGCUUCGGGGUGUGUGGAAAAAGCGGGCCGUGGCCCCAUGGCCGCCGAAUGGCGUGCGGGGGCGCCGAGCGGCAAGCCAAACGCCGGCGAGCCCACCAAAACGAGCCGCGGCAGAUAUUGCGAUUGCUGUUGCUCUUUGGCCUCAUCCACCGCCGCCUGCUUCGCGGAAACGCUCGCGUGGAUGGGGCCAAAGGAACCAGCGUCGGCAAGGUGCUUUCUGGACUUGCUUUUCCUCAAAAUAGGUUGCUGUGGACGGCAUCGGGGCUGUCUCCAUCUUAUGGGAUUUGAAAGGGUGCGCGGCGCCGGUGUGGGGGCGGCGGGCCCGAAACGCUGCAGUUCAGGUAAGCCACCUCGGGGGAGCAGCAAGUUUACUGCCGGCUAAGGUGUCUGCGGCUCAUGUGGCGCUGACUGGGGGGGGAGGAGGUAUAGUUUCUCUCACGCUGAGUGCUGCCAAUGUGGCUCAGUUAUUGCAGCGGGGACAGGAAAGUUUAACCGCAAGUGGGCCAAGUGAAGCAAUAGCGGUGGGGGGAUGCAGGCUUCUGUUUCGGGUUUUUUCUCGAUUUUUCUGCUUUCGGCGACCUGAGGGUGUCGUAUUCAAAGGUGCCCGCUGCACAAGAAUACUUGCCUGUUGCUUCCACUGGAGACUAGUUUUUUGGACAGGUUUUCUCAGUAUCGCAAAGGGAUGGCAAGAGGGUCAACUGUGUAUUGGCCUCUUCCAAGGGAAAAGUUCAGCAUUGAAGAGAGCCGCCACGAUACGCCGAAACAUCUGUCAUGUGCUGCCUUUGCAUGGGUGCUUGUCUAAUGUUUCUCUGCAGGUGAUGAGAAAUAAGGAGUGAGUUGAGAUGAAGUGGGAAAAACUUUCCCUUAAAGAGGGGACAAAAAAAAAAAGAAACCGCGCAGUCGCGGGAAUGUAUUUUGUACACAAAUAACCGGAGGGCUCGUUAGCACUCUUUCAAUUCUCUCAUUCAAAUUGAUGGCACAUACGUGUUUAUUGCAGCAGGUCGCUGCAACGCCAUGCCAUCCAGGACCUGACCACUGACCUCUAGCGAUAAAUCGUUCUGUAUCCUCGACGUCGUAGGUACUUGACCUUGUCGCCACCAGAGGUGCUUUGGGAUCGGCAGGGGAUAGGAGCUGACUAGGUUCCCUCACGGAGAGAGUGGGCGCUGGACCCCGAUACCACGCACUGAGGUGCCUUCCGUCAUUAGGUGAGCACAUAUCAUGCGAACUACAGUAAUGUGAUCACUUCGCGUCGUGGCGGUUUCAACAACGCAAGCCAAUUUCUGCAUCAGUCUCGCUUUGAAUAGAGUGUCAAUGUGAGGACUAUUCAGGGAAGAUCAGUUUUUCUUUUCAUAGUUGGCGUCUACUCGUCGUUCUUUCUGAGUCCGCGCUGGUGAUGUCUGCUGUGUUGUAGUUUUCCGAGCCUAAAGACAAAGCACUCUUCAGGUUCCUCGCCUCAUCAAAGUUUUCCUCCAUUUUCUAACUUCUCUCCCGCUUUUUUUUCUAUCGCCUUUAUAAUCUGAGUGCCUUUUCGCUGGACUUGGAACUGUAG